Acanthopagrus latus (yellowfin seabream) is the source of this 258-nucleotide long non-coding RNA. RefSeq lists it as uncharacterized. The record is from RefSeq and is a predicted model, not a curated record. The transcript is spliced from 3 exons. NCBI's taxonomy places the organism in Eukaryota, Metazoa, Chordata, Actinopteri, Spariformes, Sparidae.
ACCCUACUAUCCCUAUUCCUUCUCCCUCUCCGCUUCCUUUCCUGUCUCCCGCCCUCCAUCCUUCACUCACAACCGGUGUCCGAAUUGGCGUACCUCGUAUACGUAAUUUUGCCUCCACUAUUUGUGUUUAUUUUUGGGCUGUAUACGGCAAUUUCUAAUUUAGGGCCUCUAGGGUCAAAUUACGGGUUGGGGUUAGGGUUUGGGGCCGGGUAUAGGGUCGGGAAUUAAAUUAGGAAAAUUCCUGGGGGUUGGGGUAUG